Molecule: long non-coding RNA, 200 nt
Filed under: Carica papaya (papaya)
Lineage: Eukaryota; Viridiplantae; Streptophyta; Magnoliopsida; Brassicales; Caricaceae
Description: long non-coding RNA (CPAP_LNC002211)
Source: RNAcentral
AGAUUUUGCCGGUCCCUUAGAUAAAUCUAUCUCUAAAAAAUUGUCCCUUGAUCUUUUAAAUGGAAGUUAUUUUUCUUCGGUGUGUUGGUUUAAAGUUUCUUGACCUAUUGCUUUUAAAAUAAAUUUACAGGUGUCCUAUAUGAAAAGUAUACUAGUUGGAAAAGUAAGUGGAUCUCAAGUAAUUCUUAGAAACUGAAAGC